GAAAUGCGAUAAGUAAUGCGAAUUGCAGAUCUCCGUGAGUCAUCGAAUCUUUGAACGCACAUUGCGCCCUCGGGUAUUCCCGAGGGCAUGCCUGUCCGAGCGUCAUUAUCCACCAUCAAGCCCGGCUUGCGUGUUGAGCCCCGCACCGUCCCCCGCGACGGUGGGCUCGAAAGAUGUUGGGCGCCCGCGCGGUGGUCGGUGCAGCGAGCUCCCGAGCACGCACCUGACGACCUCUCCGGGCGUCGGCCAACCCCCCAUCUUCUCAGGUUGACCUCGGAUCAGGUAGGAAUACCCGCUGAACUUAA
RNAcentral lists this unclassified non-coding RNA (305 nucleotides) under uncultured Ascomycota. RNAcentral describes it as "sequence contains ITS1". The stretch from base 1 to 105 matches the Rfam family "5.8S ribosomal RNA", at positions 50 to 154 of the family's 154-position model. The record is from RNAcentral. Lineage: Eukaryota; Fungi; Ascomycota.